AGAGUUUGAUCAUGGCUCAGGACGAACGCUGGCGGCGUGCCUAAUACAUGCAAGUAGAACGCUGACUACUUUAGCUUGCUAGAGUAGAAGGAGUUGCGAACGGGUGAGUAACGCGUAGGUAACCUGCCUACUAGCGGGGGAUAACUAUUGGAAACGAUAGCUAAUACCGCAUAACAGUGUUUAACACAUGUUAGAUGCUUGAAAGAUGCAAAUGCAUCACUAGUAGAUGGACCUGCGUUGUAUUAGCUAGUUGGUGGGGUAACGGCCUACCAAGGCGACGAUACAUAGCCGACCUGAGAGGGUGAUCGGCCACACUGGGACUGAGACACGGCCCAGACUCCUACGGGAGGCAGCAGUAGGGAAUCUUCGGCAAUGGGGGCAACCCUGACCGAGCAACGCCGCGUGAGUGAAGAAGGUUUUCGGAUCGUAAAGCUCUGUUGUAAGAGAAGAACGUGUGUGAGAGUGGAAAGUUCACACAGUGACGGUAACUUACCAGAAAGGGACGGCUAACUACGUGCCAGCAGCCGUGGUAAUACGUAGGUCCCGAGCGUUGUCCGGAUUUAUUGGGCGUAAAGCGAGCGCAGGCGGUUUAAUAAGUCUGAAGUUAAAGGCAGUGGCUUAACCAUUGUUCGCUUUGGAAACUGUUAAACUUGAGUGCAGAAGGGGAGAGUGGAAUUCCAUGUGUAGCGGUGAAAUGCGUAGAUAUAUGGAGGAACACCGGUGGCGAAAGCGGCUCUCUGGUCUGUAACUGACGCUGAGGCUCGAAAGCGUGGGGAGCAAACAGGAUUAGAUACCCUGGUAGUCCACGCCGUAAACGAUGAGUGCUAGGUGUUAGGCCCUUUCCGGGGCUUAGUGCCGCAGCUAACGCAUUAAGCACUCCGCCUGGGGA
Molecule: ribosomal RNA, 889 nt
Filed under: uncultured bacterium
Lineage: Bacteria
Description: bacterial SSU rRNA
Rfam family: Bacterial small subunit ribosomal RNA
Source: RNAcentral